CUACGGGAUGCACCAGCUGGGAAACUUCUGCAAUGUACGCAAGUAUGACAGAGCAAGCCAGAGUGUUUUUCCGUAUUGGAAAAACUUUUAUGAGAUGUAAAAAGUCUCAUGAAUAAGGACUGGGCAAGACUGGUGCCAGCCGCCGCGGUAAUACCAGCGGUCCAAGUGGCAGCCAUUUUUAUUGGGUCUAAAACAUCCGUAGCUUGCCUUGUAAGUCUCCUGUGAAAUCUGGCAUCUUAAGUGCCAGGCGUGCAAGAGAUACUGCAAGGCUCGGGACCGGUAGACGCAAGGAGUACGGUUAGGGUAGCGGUUAAAUGCGUUGAUCCUUUCUGGACUAACGACAGCGAAGGCACCUUGCGAGAACGGAUCUGACAGUGAGGGAUGAAGGCUAGGGUCGCAAAACGGAUUAGAUACCCGGGUAGUC
This 424-nucleotide ribosomal RNA is filed under the name uncultured archaeon. RNAcentral describes it as "partial 16S ribosomal RNA". It matches the Rfam family "Archaeal small subunit ribosomal RNA", at positions 323 to 746 of the family's 1478-position model. The record is from RNAcentral.